AGAUGUAUAUCCUAGAAGCCAAUAUAGCUGACCCAUUGUAAUAACUCUAAGACAUAAUUUUGUACUUAAUACAUUGAUAUAAUCAAUAAAAAGAUAAAUUUAUUUUUUAUUCAAGUGUGAUGUGUCCUUGAAUCGUUCAUGGAUUUAACUUUCGAUACAUAUUCUCAAGAUAUUGAGAAUUAGAGAUAUGUAUUUAAUUCUUAAAUACUCCCAAUCAUAGGAUUAUCAUG
This 230-nucleotide long non-coding RNA is filed under the name Elaeis guineensis (African oil palm). RNAcentral describes it as "long non-coding RNA (EGUI_LNC001543)". The record is from RNAcentral. Lineage: Eukaryota; Viridiplantae; Streptophyta; Magnoliopsida; Arecales; Arecaceae.